RNAcentral lists this ribosomal RNA (450 nucleotides) under uncultured bacterium. RNAcentral describes it as "partial 16S ribosomal RNA". It matches the Rfam family "Bacterial small subunit ribosomal RNA", at positions 354 to 796 of the family's 1533-position model. The record is from RNAcentral.
GUGGGGAAUUUUGGACAAUGGGCGAAAGCCUGAUCCAGCCAUGCCGCGUGCAGGAUGAAGGCCUUCGGGUUGUAAACUGCUUUUGUACGGAACGAAAAGACUCCUUCUAAUAAAGGGGGUCCAUGACGGUACCGUAAGAAUAAGCACCGGCUAACUACGUGCCAGCAGCCGCGGUAAUACGUAGGGUGCGAGCGUUAAUCGGAAUUACUGGGCGUAAAGCGUGCGCAGGCGGUUAUGUAAGACAGAUGUGAAAUCCCCGGGCUCAACCUGGGAACUGCAUUUGUGACUGCAUGACUGGAGUGCGGCAGAGGGGGAUGGAAUUCCGCGUGUAGCAGUGAAAUGCGUAGAUAUGCGGAGGAACACCGAUGGCGAAGGCAAUCCCCUGGACCUGUACUGACGCUCAUGCACGAAAGCGUGGGGAGCAAACAGGAUUAGAAACCCGUGUAGUCC